GGUACAGAGAAAAGGGUGAUUGUUUUGAAUCAUACGAAUAUAAUGACACCUAAUUAAGGGAAGAAUGAAAAUUUUGAUGCAUUUUAUAACCUAGGGUAAAAUCAUCUUUUCCGUUGGCCGUUGCCUGCUGUUACAAGCAAAAAAUUGAUCGAAGUGGCACCUGGGGAAAGAAAAAUUUCAUACAAGGGUACUGAGGAGCUUUUUCAAACAUCAAUGGUAUACAAGUCAUUUUGAAUUUUUAUAAUGGCACACGGGUAAAAAGCUCUACUAUGUUAGGAAGCACCUGAUUCUGAUGCGUUCAUCAUGUUCCCGUUCUUGCAUAGUUGAUGGUUUCAUGUGCGGCAAUAGAGACUUCACAAGUGUUUUCAUCACAAUGGCCAUCAUGGUCACCUGACAUGGCUAUAUUCUAACGCUGCCAGGGCUCUACGAGGCUGCAACGCACAUUCGCCAACUAAUAGCUC
RNAcentral lists this long non-coding RNA (461 nucleotides) under Sorghum bicolor (sorghum). Its description in RNAcentral is "long non-coding RNA (SBIC_LNC015254)". Lineage: Eukaryota; Viridiplantae; Streptophyta; Magnoliopsida; Poales; Poaceae. The record is from RNAcentral.